AAACCAUGAUAAAGGCACUGCUGUUGUAAAUCCUUAAACCUCUUCCAAGUUUCAUAUAAAGACUCAUCAUCCCUUUGGUAAAAAGAGCAAUUUCAUUUCUCAAUUU
Small nucleolar RNA from Mangifera indica (mango), 106 nucleotides. NCBI's taxonomy places the organism in Eukaryota, Viridiplantae, Streptophyta, Magnoliopsida, Sapindales, Anacardiaceae. The record is from RefSeq and is a predicted model, not a curated record.